RNAcentral lists this ribosomal RNA (429 nucleotides) under Gemmatimonadota bacterium. RNAcentral's name for it is "Gemmatimonadetes bacterium partial 16S ribosomal RNA". It matches the Rfam family "Bacterial small subunit ribosomal RNA", at positions 355 to 776 of the family's 1533-position model. The record is from RNAcentral. Lineage: Bacteria; Pseudomonadati; Gemmatimonadota.
UAGGGAAUCUUCGGCAUUGGACGAAAGUCUGACCGAGCAACGCCGCGUGAGUGAAGAAGGUUUUCGGAUCGUAAAACUCUGUUGUUAGAGAAGAACAAGGACGUUAGUAACUGAACGUCCCCUGACGGUAUCUAACCAGAAAGCCACGGCUAACUACGUGCCAGCAGCCGCGGUAAUACGUAGGUGGCAAGCGUUGUCCGGAUUUAUUGGGCGUAAAGCGAGCGCAGGCGGUUUCUUAAGUCUGAUGUGAAAGCCCCCGGCUCAACCGGGGAGGGUCAUUGGAAACUGGGAGACUUGAGUGCAGAAGAGGAGAAUGGAAUUCCAUGUGUAGCGGUGAAAUGCGUAGAUAUAUGGAGGAACACCAGUGGCGAAGGCGGCUCUCUGGUCUGUAACUGACGCUGAGGCUCGAAAGCGUGGGGAGCAAACAGG